Molecule: long non-coding RNA, 1615 nt
Organism: Cyprinus carpio carpio
Lineage: Eukaryota; Metazoa; Chordata; Actinopteri; Cypriniformes; Cyprinidae
Source: Ensembl
CAGUGCUUGUGGUUCUUCUAAUGGUUCUUCCUUUUUAAAGGGGUCAUAUGAUGUUGCUAAAAAGAACAUUAUUUUGUGUAUUUGGUGUAAUGAAAUAUGUUCAUGCGGUUUAAGGUAAAAAAAACACAUUAUUUUCCACCUACUGUACAUUAUUGUUUCUCCUAUAUGCCCCGCCUUUCUGAAACACGUCGAUUUUUUCAAAGCUCAACAGUCUGAAAAGCGAGGUGUGCUCUGAUUGGCUAGCUAUCCAGUGCGUUGUGAUUGGCCAAAUGUUUCAAGCGUCUGACGGAAAUGUUACGUCCCUCAAUACAUACUGUUAUGGCGUGUCCCGGUCAGAACACCGGCAUGACAAGACAAAAACAAAACCCAUUACAAACGAUGCAGUUGUUGCAUCCAGUUGGGACAUAAUUACUGAUUAUAAUGACUUAUACUGUCUUUUUACGCGUUGUGUUGCAUAUCGCGCCGUGUAAACAUAAAACCAUGUCUGCAUUUGUGAUCGGAGAAACGACAAACAACAAGUGCUUCUCUACACUGCUCAAAAUUCGCGUUUGAAUCAUCAAAAUCCUUUACAUAUGUAAACCUACUUACAUGAGUGAGUGGCAACCAGUGGCUAUAACGAGGAAAAGCCGGAGGAUUCGACGAAGGAGCAGCCGGGGGUUGUGGCAACCACAUGUGACGACCCUGGGCUGGACUCCGCUUUGUCCACGGUGAAAGCUGAUCCUGCGAUCCACAGCACAAAGUUGAUGUAUUUCCUCAGCAACCAGCAUGACGAAGCGAUAUCGUGCUCUUUUGGAAAGCCAAACAAAGUAGUUUCACUUUCAAAAUGAAACACGCAGCUUCUCAAUGAAAUGGCGACAGCGGCAACAUCGAGAAUAGGGCUUGGGCGCCGCGUUGCAUUCUGGGACGUGGCGGCCAUGUUGAUGGCGUCGUGAAUGUAAACAUACAGCAAGUCGAACGAGAAGAAACAGAGUUGGGAGAAAGAAAAAAUAUGUUAAAAUCGCGAAAAGGUUGUGGGAUUUACAGGGAUACGCUAAGUAGGGAUGCCAGGGAUCGGUAUGUGGACAAAAUCGGCACUAUUAACGGUUUGGAUCAAUAUGAAAAUCCCAACAAAGAGUGGAGCACCGACGACGAGUUGCUGCCGCACUUUUGCAUUACAGGGAGUAUGUCUAAACACUGCACAGUAGUCCGAGUAGCAGUAAAGGAGGCCAUCAGCAUGGCGGCCAUGCCAAGUAAUGACGUCACGACGCCCAAGCCCUAUUAAAGGUAUGUCUUCUUUCGUUGCGUGAACAUUUGGGCGGUGUUUUGCAAAUCUUUCCACAUACGGACGUAGAGAUGUUGGGGCGUGUUUAAACAAGACGUUUUAGGGGAGCGUGGACAAUUCUUAACUUUUAUAAAGAAUAUCUCUUUGGAUUUGAGACUUUAGUCUUUGCAACUUUACAGAUCUUUUUUAUGCACCAAGAACUUGUAACACUCCAAAGAGAAAUGAAAAAUUUAAAUCGCAUCAUAUGACCCCUUUAAAUAAUCUUUGUCACAAUCAGAAUGGAAUUAAUGCAAUCAGCCUUAGGAGUGCUCUCUAUGAUUCAUAUAUAUAUAUAUAAAUUCCAUACUUUCAAAC